GUGGGGAAUAUUGCACAAUGGGCGGAAGCCUGAUGCAGCGACGCCGCGUGAGGGAUGACGGCCUUCGGGUUGUAAACCUCUUUCAGCAGGGACGAAGCGUAAGUGACGGUACCUGCAGAAGAAGCACCGGCUAACUAUGUGCCAGCAGCCGCGGUAAUACGUAGGGUGCGAGCGUUGUCCGGAAUUACUGGGCGUAAAGAGCUCGUAGGCGGUUUGUCACGUCGUCUGUGAAAUCCUAGGGCUUAACCCUGGACGUGCAGGCGAUACGGGCUGACUUGAGUACUACAGGGGAGACUGGAAUUUCUGGUGUAGCGGUGGAAUGCACAGAUAUCAGGAAGAACACCGAUGGCGAAGGCAGGUCUCUGGGUAGUAACUGACGCUGAGGAGCGAAAGCAUGGGUAGCGAACAGG
Molecule: ribosomal RNA, 410 nt
Filed under: bacterium
Lineage: Bacteria
Also listed under: 1 other name
Description: bacterial SSU rRNA
Rfam family: Bacterial small subunit ribosomal RNA
Source: RNAcentral